Molecule: unclassified non-coding RNA, 205 nt
Filed under: Hevea brasiliensis (rubber tree)
Lineage: Eukaryota; Viridiplantae; Streptophyta; Magnoliopsida; Malpighiales; Euphorbiaceae
Source: RNAcentral
CACCCAAAUUAAUUUCUACUCUUGACCCGUGGUGUUUGGAACUCUCCUCCUCUGAAUAAUCAUUUUUCAGACUUGCAUCUAAUCCUCCAGCAUGUUCUACGGCUUCUGAAAUCUCCACCCUCAGCUCUUCAUGCUUCUCUUUUAACUCUGUUGAGUUAAUAGCCGCUGAGAGCCUCUGCUUUAUUUGUUGUUCUAAAGCCUCAAU